AAGGUUUUAAGUUAUAAUAAACUAUAAGCCUUCAAAGCUUAAAAUAAAAAAGAAUUUUUAAACCUUGCC
RNAcentral lists this transfer RNA (69 nucleotides) under Naria erosa. RNAcentral describes it as "tRNA-Trp". Lineage: Eukaryota; Metazoa; Mollusca; Gastropoda; Littorinimorpha; Cypraeidae. The record is from RNAcentral.